CCCUUAGAUGUUCUGGGCCACACGCGCGCUACACUGACGAAUGCAACGAGCUUAUAACCUUGGCCGAAAGGUCUGGGUAAUCUCCAAAUUUCGUCGUGAUGGGGAUAGAUUAUUGCAAUUAUUAAUCUUCAACGAGGAAUGCCUAGUAAGCGCAAGUCAUCAGCUUGCGUUGAUUACGUCCCUGCCCUUUGUACACACCGCCCGUCGCUCCUACCGAUUGAAUGGUCCGGUGAAGCGUUCGGACCGUGGCCUUUGGACGGUUCGCCGUCUGUUGGCUGCGGGAAGUUCGUUAAACCUUAUCAUUUAGAGGAAGGAGAAGUCGUAACA
This 327-nucleotide ribosomal RNA is filed under the name uncultured eukaryote. Its description in RNAcentral is "partial 18S ribosomal RNA". It matches the Rfam family "Eukaryotic small subunit ribosomal RNA", at positions 1470 to 1796 of the family's 1831-position model. The record is from RNAcentral.